GGGGUAUGGAAUAACUCAGGGAAACUUGAGCUAAUACCAUAUAAUGUCUUCGGACCAAAGAUUUAUCGCCCUGAGAUAAGCCCGCGUAGGAUUAGCUAGUUGGUGAGGUAAAGGCUCACCAAGGCGACGAUCCUUAGCUGGUCUGAGAGGAUGAUCAGCCACACUGGGACUGAGANNNNNCCCAGACUCCUACGGGAGGCAGCAGUGGGGAAUAUUGGACAAUGGGCGAAAGCCUGAUCCAGCAAUGCCGCGUGGGUGAUGAAGGCCUUCGGGUUGUAAAGCUCUUUUACUCGGGACGAUAAUGACGGUACCGAGAGAAUAAGCCCCGGCUAACUCCGUGCCAGCAGCCGCGGUAAUACGGAGGGGGCUAGCGUUGUUCGGAAUCACUGGGCGUAAAGCGUACGUAGGCGGCUUGUCAAGUCAGGGGUGAAAGCCUGGGGCUCAACCUCAGAACUGCCCUUGAAACUGGCUAGCUUGAACAUAGGAGAGGUGAGUGGAAUUCCGAGUGUAGAGGUGAAAUUCGUAGAUAUUCGGAGGAACACCAGUGGCGAAGGCGACUCACUGGACUAUUGUUGACGCUGAGGUACGAAAGCGUGGGGAGCAAACAGGAUUAGAUACCCUGGUAGUCCACGCCGUANACGAUGGAUGCUAGCUGUCGGGGCUCUUUGAGCUUCGGUGGCGCAGCUAACGCAUUAAGCAUCCCGCCUGGGAAGUACGGUCGCAAGAUUAAAACUCAAAGGAAUUGACGGGGNNNUGCACAAGCGGUGGAGCAUGUGGUUUAUUCGAAAGCACGCGCAGACCUUACCNNNUUUUGACAU
This 818-nucleotide ribosomal RNA is filed under the name uncultured bacterium. Its description in RNAcentral is "bacterial SSU rRNA". It matches the Rfam family "Bacterial small subunit ribosomal RNA", at positions 133 to 987 of the family's 1533-position model. The record is from RNAcentral.